UCAUCAGUGAUGAGCCUUUAACAUGUAAGAAGAUUUGACUUGGUGUUGGAUCUUCGAUGCAAUACUCUUGUUAACGCUUGGCUUCUGAGAUGA
Small nucleolar RNA from Amaranthus tricolor (Joseph's coat), 93 nucleotides. RefSeq annotates it as small nucleolar RNA R24. Lineage: Eukaryota; Viridiplantae; Streptophyta; Magnoliopsida; Caryophyllales; Amaranthaceae. The transcript has a single exon. The record is from RefSeq and is a predicted model, not a curated record.